RNAcentral lists this ribosomal RNA (279 nucleotides) under uncultured bacterium. RNAcentral describes it as "partial 16S ribosomal RNA". It matches the Rfam family "Bacterial small subunit ribosomal RNA", at positions 506 to 784 of the family's 1533-position model. The record is from RNAcentral.
UGCCAGCCGCCGCGGUAAGACGGAGGGCGCAAGCGUUGUUCGGAAUUACUGGGCGUAAAGCGCGCGCAGGCGGUCCUUUAAGUCCAAUGUGAAACUCCGGGGCUCAACCCCGGACAUGCAUUGGAUACUGGGGGACUAGAGACCGGUAGAGGCUAGCGGAAUUCCUGGUGUAGCGGUGGAAUGCGUAGAUAUCAGGAAGAACACCGGUGGCGAAGGCGGCUAGCUGGGCCGGUUCUGACGCUCAGGUGCGAAAGCGUGGGGAGCAAACAGGAUUAGAUA